RNAcentral lists this long non-coding RNA (597 nucleotides) under Fukomys damarensis (Damara mole-rat). RNAcentral describes it as "lncRNA (ENSFDAG00000024757.1)". The record is from RNAcentral. Lineage: Eukaryota; Metazoa; Chordata; Mammalia; Rodentia; Bathyergidae.
GGCAGUGUCACAAAGACAUCUGUCCCAAGUGUGACUUUGGACCGAAAUACGGUGAUUAUGAUGAUGCUUAUUGGCCAAGUAUUGUAGAAGUUACUUUGGGAUUGCAAAAUGUUUUCCCGUCCUUUUCAGUGGUCAGCGUUCCCUCAGGAAGCUUAAUCCUGACAGAAACUGAGGAAAGAAGUUUACAAAACAUCGACACAGGAAAUGGUGGGACUGCUCAGAAUUCUCCAGAAGGUUCCAGAAAGCUGCCAGGAGUUAGGACUGUGUGUGAGCUACACUCAAUGGGCUUUGGAAGAUUGAGGUCUCUGCAACCUGGGGCAGGAAAGUCGAACCAGGUGGAAGGAAGGAAAACCCAGGUGUGGAGGGAGCAGGCCUGGGACCCUGCUGCUGGACAGCAGGGAAUAGCAGCUGAGGAGUGCUACCGACCGUAGGGCAGCAAACACGGGAUUUCACGAGGAGAUACAGGUUCUCUGAAAGGUGGGAGCAGGUUCGGCGAUGACAGUCAGACAAAAGCACUCAACACCGAGGUGAAGUUUGCCAAUGCUGCUGCAAUUUUAUUUCUAACUCCAGGUGUUUAUAUACUAGUUUCAAGGGCAC